This 253-nucleotide ribosomal RNA is filed under the name uncultured prokaryote. Its description in RNAcentral is "partial 16S ribosomal RNA". It matches the Rfam family "Bacterial small subunit ribosomal RNA", at positions 524 to 776 of the family's 1533-position model. The record is from RNAcentral.
UACAGAGGGUGCAAGCGUUGUUCGGAAUUAUUGGGCGUAAAGGGAGUGUAGGCUGUUAGGUAAGUCUUCUGUGAAAUCUACGGGCUUACCCCGUAACGUGCAGAGGAAACUGCUUAGCUUGAGUGUCGGAGAGGAUAGGGGAAUACCCGGUGUAGAGGUGAAAUUCGUAGAGAUCGGGUGGAACACCAGUGGCGAAGGCGCCUAUCUGGCUGACAACUGACGCUGAAGCGCGAAAGCUAGGGGAGCGAACGGG